RNAcentral lists this ribosomal RNA (465 nucleotides) under uncultured bacterium. RNAcentral's name for it is "partial 16S ribosomal RNA". It matches the Rfam family "Bacterial small subunit ribosomal RNA", at positions 28 to 507 of the family's 1533-position model. The record is from RNAcentral.
GACGAACGCUGGCGGCGUGCUUAACACAUGCAAGUCGUACGGUAAGGCCCUUUCGGGGGUACACGAGUGUCGAACGGGGGAGUAACACGUAAGUAACCUUCCCACACCUUUGGGAUAGCGCUAGGAAACUGGUGCUAAAACUGGAUAUGUGCUACUUCUGCAUGGGGGGGGUUGGAAAGCUCCGGCGGUUGUGGAUGGACUCGCGGGCUAUCAGCUUGCCGGUGGGGUAGUGGCCUACCGAGGCGGCUACGGGUAGCCGGACUGUGAGGGUGACCUGCCACCUUGGGACUGAGAGAAGGCCCAGACUGCUAAGGGAGGCAGCAGGGGGGAAGAUUGACCAAUGGGCGCAAGCCUGAUGCAGCAAGGCCGCGUGCGGGAUGACGGUCUUAGGGUUGUAAACCGAUUUCAGCAGGGACGAAGCUUUUUGUGACGGUACCUGCAGAAGAAGCACCGGCUAACUACGUG